AUGCAGCAGCCGCUGCUGUACACAUUCGAGGAGGCGUUCGAGCUGUUCUGCAACGGAUUAUGCGGGAGCGGCCCACAGUGGCGCCACGUGGUGGGUUACAGGGGCAUGAGCAGGAAGCGGUCAGAGAAGGUGCUCUUCCUCCUGUAUGAGCAGAUGCUCUGGGACCCGUGA
This 171-nucleotide ribosomal RNA is filed under the name Triticum aestivum (bread wheat). RNAcentral describes it as "partial small subunit ribosomal RNA". The record is from RNAcentral. Lineage: Eukaryota; Viridiplantae; Streptophyta; Magnoliopsida; Poales; Poaceae.